AACAUCGAUGUCCUGACAAGUUAGUGCUGAGCAGGCAGAAAGGAGGGAGAGGACGAAUGCUUUGCCUUCCGCGCAAUGCAAAAAAAUGUUCCCAAAACAGCAUCAUCCCACUCAUUGUUCAAGGUCACCAGACUGUGCAUGCUCAAAACGGGACUCAAGACUCCCAAAUCCCAGUGUCUGAUUAAUUGUCCUUUGACUAAAACAAUGAAAAUAAAAUGGGUUAGCAAAAGGUAUUGCUCCAGGCCCAAAAGUUCAGAAAGCAAGCACACCCUCAAGGAAAGUAGGAUUUUCUUUAAUUAGGCUGACGUUGAAUGCCUCCUUAAUAAUGCUGUAAAUGUGAAAUUGUCAUUGGCACGGUAGGUAUAUUGGUGAUUUUUUAUCAUGCCAGUUAAAAGGUAGUGAGUAUCACUGUGCUGGGUUCCUGGCACUGGGCAAGGCAUUUCCCCCACAUUAUGUGAUUUAACCCUCACAAGUACCUGGGGGGUAUCAUGGCCACUAUUUUACUGAUGGUGCUAAAACUGAUUAUAGUUCUUUGCUUGAUGUGUAAGUGGUAGAACUGGGAUUCAAGUCUAGGUUUCUAACUUCCGUGUUUCAGAACCACUUAACUGCCUUUUUAAAAUAGCAUCUUAUUUUGUGUAUUCAUAUCUGGGUCGACUACUGUAAAGUGUAAGUUCCUAGAUGAGAAAAACUAUGAGCUGAAGCAGAGCUUUCUUUGAAUUACCUACUUGCCAUAUUUCGCCUAAAUAUGAAGGUAGUGGGGUUGGUCGUGAAAUACUAGCAUCCGUCGCUUUUAAUUAAAUAGUGCACAUGUUCGUAAAUAAACUCUCUGUGAGGAAGACAAUAUAUACCCUGAUAUUUCAAAUGCAUUGAGAUGUCCAGACAUAAAAUAGUUUGGGUCUUAUAAGAGGAAAAUAUUGGUUUGAAAAGUUGGAAGGUUAAAGAUGUUAGUCCACAGGUGACUCGGUGCUAAGUGCACAUUGACAAAGCAGGAAGAGGGAAAUUAAUUUAGUUAGCAUCUAAGUUGGAGGAUGUGGAUGCCAACCUCUCUUAAAGUAGAGGAAAAAGACAUAAUAUCAUCUUUUCUCUACAUUUUUCUCUUUCUUUUUGAAAAAAGGAAAGAUAUGGGGAUAGGAAAAGCAAGUUAAAAGUGCUAGUAACACACAGAUGUAGAGAACAAAUGUAUGGACACCAAGCGGGGGAGGAGGGGUGUGAUGAACUGGGAGAUUGGGAUUGACAUAUAUACACUAAUAUGUAUAAAACAGGUAACUAAUUAGAACCCGCUGUAUAAAAAAAUUUAAAAAAUAGAAUUCAAAUAUUCCAAAAAAAAAGUGCUAGUAAUAAUAAAGAUGAAAAAUGGAUUGCACCUGCCCUCAGGGAUCUCACGGUCCAGAAGUGGAAGCAGACACAUUAACAAAACAGUAUGAGAGAUGAAAAAUAGGAACAGGUACAAGGCACAGAAAUAGGGUAGAGGGGACGCAAUUACCUAGAGAGAGAAGGAAAAGGUGAGGAAAAGCGUCACAAAGGAGGAAAACUUGAGCUGGAAUUUAAAGACUUUGACUAAGUGCAUAAUGGAGGGAAAAAGAAAACUCUGUACAAAGGCACAGAGCAUGAAAUGAGCUGACAUUUUGGGGCCCAGAAGGAAUCUGAUAUUGCUGGAGGAGAGAGCAGACAGGCUAAGUGUGGAGAGAUGAACUGGCGAAGUAGUUAGGAGGCUGGGUCUAGAAUGUGGUGUGGUGAGCCACUGAUGGGUUUUCAAAAGCGGAUUUGAGUUUCCAAAAAGUUACUCUUGCGGUGCUGUCAAGAAUGAAUGGUUGGUCAUCUGAUCAACAAAAUGAAAAGCCAGUUGUUUCAAAAAAGUAAUUAAAUAGACAAACUCCUGCAUGAUUGGUUUUUUUUUAAGAGGCAGAACUAAACAGUACUAGAUAUGAACAGGGACAUUGAAGCAGAAAAAAGUAAAUAUUUAAAAAUCAUAAGGGAAUCACGUGAACAACUUCAGAGCAAUAUAUUUGAAACCUUAGAUACACCAUACAAUUUUUAGACAGCAUAAAUUAUGGAAAUAAACUUGAGAAGAAAUUGACACUGAAUAAACCCAUAACCAGUAAGGGGAAAAAAUUAACUCCACAGUCAAAAGUACACCACAAAGACUACUAGCUCCAGAGGAGUACGUGGACAAUUUUUUCCCAAAACUUCAAGGAAGAAAUAAUAACCCCUCACAAAUAACCAUUCUAGGGAAUAGAAAAUGAGAGAAAACUUGCCAACAUGUUUUAUAAAGUCAUUAUAAUCCUGAUGUCAAAGCCAGAGAAGGACAAAAUAAGAAUCAAUCUCACAUAUGGACAAAGAAGCAGAAAUACUGAAUAAAUGUAAGCAAGAAAUCCGAAAUAAGUGUGUAUAUAUAAAUGUCAUAUAAAGUAUAUUUUACAUGGCAUGCAAGAAUUGUUUAACAUUAGAAAAUCAAUCUUAUAAUUUAUCACAUUGACAUAUUACAAUUCAUAAUGGGAAACAUUCAGGGAAAUUCGACACCUGUUCAUAAUUUUUAAAAAAAUCUUUGCCAACUGGUAUGAAUCAUAGCUCCAUGACUUAUUCGUUAAUAAAUUUUAAUUCAGGUAAGAAAAUCUAAGCUUUGUACAAAAAAGGAAAUGAGUGGAUGAGAAGAGGAAAGAGAAUGGAGGCAAAGAGAACAAUUAUGAGGUCAUCAUGACAAAUCCAGGUAUGAGACACAGCCUUCAGAGGCUGGAGGAAAGUCCUGAUGGUAGAGGCAGAGGGGAGAGCAGAUUUCAGCCAUAGUUAGGAGGAAGACCGAUAGAAGCUGCUGACUGACUGGGCGUGGGAGGAGGGUCGUAAUGAGGAGACAGGCGUUCAUUAUGACUCCUGGCUUUCUGCACUAGGUGGCUGUGUGGAUGGCUGGAUGCAGUGGACCCAGUGGACAAGACUAUAGAGCAUGGAGGGCCACCUUGAAAGCAGUCACAACCUACAGAAGGCAGCAUCAGGCAGCUGCCAACGAGUUUUGUUAAGAGUAAGAUCAGGGUUUCCCUACGAGAAUGACGAUGACUUCACUGGGCUUUAAGGAAAUUCAUUCAGGUGUGGAGUUGGGUGGAAAGUGCCAGAAAAGUAUGAGUGACCCAGCUAGAGUUUGGUAAUUAUUUCAUAACUGCCUGGUGCUUAAACCUUUGGGACACCAGAUCACAGAUUGUAUUACCUAAGGACCAAACCCAGAUCAGAGGGAGAAUGUACUAGAACCCUUUGCCAGGAGCAAUCUCCUGCUGAAACCAUCCAAGUGGCAGGAUCCACAGCAGGACAAAGGAACUUUUGAAAGGGACUUGAAAAAGAGUUCAGUUACUCUGUGGUUAACCCAUCAAAGCCGUCUUCCUGUAACCCAGAGGACAGCAGGCCUCGACAUGUGCCGGCCAUUUGGAAAACAGAGUCAUAUGGAGUAGAUCAAACAUUUCAGGAGAGCCCCUUGCCUUGAAAACACGGACCCUUAUGAAAAUCAUUAAGCAAUUGGUUGUUAUUUAUUUGCUUACACUGUGCUUCAGCAAAGCAAGCAGGAAGAUGAGGAUAAGAACCACUGAGCCAGUUUCAGAGGCCCUAGUUCAGGAAAGAAGGAUUCCCUUACACCCCUGAUUUUAAAGAGCCUUUUACGAAGACAUCCUACCACACGGCUGGCCUAGGGAGGCUGUCUUGGCUCCCUUCGACUGUGUAUUAGGUUAACAACCACCUCAAGCUUCUUAGAAACCUAGAAAUCCCCAGGCUGUUAGAGGAAUUCCACAGGGCUAAGAAAACGCUUGCAAUCUCAGCACUGGAAGCAGAAAACUAUUUCCAAACAUCGUCCUUUCUCACUCUGUGGCACUCUGUGUAACCCACUCCCAGCCUCAGAAAACCUGGGCGGCUCCACAGCACACCCGCAAAUCUGUCCUUCUUAAUGAGCCAAGCACUCUUCGUUCAUGGCUUGGAUCCGUGGACCUGGGAACGAACAAGGAGCAAGUCCGUAUUUUCACUUGGGGAGUUACCAGCCUCUGUGCUGACCCCUCCUGCGAGAAGGCAACCAUCUACCUUGGUACCCACCCUCAUCAAUGUAUCUGGAGGGCUACUUUCAAGGGGAUCCUUUCCUU
This is a long non-coding RNA of Orcinus orca (killer whale), 4109 nucleotides long. RefSeq lists it as uncharacterized. The record is from RefSeq and is a predicted model, not a curated record. The transcript is spliced from 3 exons. Lineage: Eukaryota; Metazoa; Chordata; Mammalia; Artiodactyla; Delphinidae.